UAACCUGCCCAAGAGAUCGGGAUAACACCUGGAAACAGAUGCUAAUACCGGAUAACAACAGAUGAUGCCUAUCAACUGUUUAAAAGAUGGUUCUGCUAUCACUCUUGGAUGGACCUGCGGUGAAUUAGCUAGUUGGUAGGGUAACGGCCUACCAAGGCGAUGAUGCAUAGCCGAGUUGAGAGACUGAUCGGCCACAUUGGGACUGAGACACGGCCCAAACUCCUACGGGAGGCAGCAGAU
This 240-nucleotide ribosomal RNA is filed under the name uncultured Lactobacillus sp. RNAcentral's name for it is "partial 16S ribosomal RNA". It matches the Rfam family "Bacterial small subunit ribosomal RNA", at positions 122 to 354 of the family's 1533-position model. The record is from RNAcentral. Lineage: Bacteria; Bacillati; Bacillota; Bacilli; Lactobacillales; Lactobacillaceae.